AUUAUGGCUCAGGAUGAACGCUGGCGGCGUGCUUAAUACAUGCAAGUCGAACGAAGCACUUACGACAGAUCCCCUCGGGGUGAAGAUGUUUGUGACUUAGUGGCGGACGGGUGAGUAACGCGUGGGUAACCUGCCUCAUGCAGGGGGAUAACAGUUAGAAAUGACUGCUAAUACCGCAUAAGCGCACGUGACCGCAUGGUCGAGUGUGAAAAGAUUUAUCGGCAUGAGAUGGACCCGCGUCUGAUUAGGUAGUUGGUGGGGUAACGGCCCACCAAGCCUGCGAUCAGUAGCCGACUUGAGAGAGUGAUCGGCCACAUUGGGACUGAGACACGGCCCAGACUCCUACGGGAGGCAGCAGUAGGGAAUAUUGCACAAUGGGGGAAACCCUGAUGCCAGCGACGCCGCGUGAGUGAAGAAGUAUUUCGGUACGUAAAGCUCUAUCAGCAGGGAAGAUAAUGACGGUACCUGACUAAGAAGCCCCGGCUAACUACGUGCCAGCCGCUGC
RNAcentral lists this ribosomal RNA (505 nucleotides) under uncultured bacterium. RNAcentral's name for it is "bacterial SSU rRNA". It matches the Rfam family "Bacterial small subunit ribosomal RNA", at positions 16 to 518 of the family's 1533-position model. The record is from RNAcentral.